Trichechus manatus latirostris (Florida manatee) is the source of this 156-nucleotide small nucleolar RNA. RefSeq annotates it as small nucleolar RNA SNORA57. The record is from RefSeq and is a predicted model, not a curated record. Lineage: Eukaryota; Metazoa; Chordata; Mammalia; Sirenia; Trichechidae. The transcript has a single exon.
CUUUUUCUUGGUGGAGGUGGGUGGAAGUGGGUAUUGGGUGUCAGAUCCCGGUCCCCUUUAUGUAGGAGAGCAGAGGGUAAGGGCUCUGGUUGCCUCGGUAUCAUGUCAUCAGAGGCUUCCACUCUGGUGGUUCUAUCUUCAAGUGCAGGGACAAGG